Molecule: ribosomal RNA, 163 nt
Filed under: uncultured bacterium
Lineage: Bacteria
Description: partial 16S ribosomal RNA
Rfam family: Bacterial small subunit ribosomal RNA
Source: RNAcentral
UAGGGAAUCUUCCACAAUGGGCGAAAGCCUGAUGGAGCAACGCCGCGUGUGUGAUGAAGGGUUUCGGCUCGUAAACACUGUUGUAAGAGAAGAAUGACAUUGAGAGUAACUGUUCAAUGUGUGACGGUAUCUUACCAGAAAGGAACGGCUAAAUACGUGCCAA